UCUCCACGUUUGCUACACUACUAUUUCAGUAAUCUUAAUAAUUCUCUGAAGAAGACAAUGUUUUCAUAGUGUUCGACUAGAUAGACUGAGAGUCACACAUUUUAUUUUUGUUUUGUGACAUUUGUGGCUCUUCAGCGUGACACUGGCAUUCUUCCUCCUCUGAUGCAACUUCCUUCUCUGUUUCACUCUGUUUUGGUCGAGGUUGUUUCAACCUCCCCCCUUCUCUGUGCAGUCUUUCAGCUGGACCAGGAGAGCCCGAGCUGUCGCUUUGUUUUCUGAACAUCCACUUCUGUUUCCUGUGGCAACACCUGCAGAUAAAUACGUAGCUGGCUACCCAAACGGACACUGCCCGCACCCCCCAGACGCUCUCCUCCGCAGGCCCGCGCAGACCCAGGUAUGUGCACACAUGCGUGCUCAGCUCCUCCACCCUCCCCCGGGGAGCUCAGAGGACUCCAGCUGUUUUCCGGCCCUGGCAGCAGAAGCGGCUGCAGAGCCUCUAAUGUUCCUUCUCUGGAACCAGCGCUGAUCGUGCUGCUGCUGCUGCUGCCAGAGAAGGAUUUAAGUCACCUGGACUGAGGAGAAGACCGCUGAACUGUGUAAAGACGGUGGAGCCAGAUACUUCAGGCUAUUUGAAGCCAUCAGAGGGGAAGGAACCAGACUUGGGGUUCCUCCACCCGAAGCGUGUUGCCCGCAUUGUUGACAACCACGUACUGAUAUUUCAAGACUCAGCUCAAGCAUAAUAAUCUCUGAAGCUUUUCCUGAUAGGCUGCCUGGCCCUUCUAUACCUGUAACAUCGUUAUUUCAUUUAGUUAACAUUGGAAAUGAAGAGCCCACUGUGAUGGUGUGAGGAUGCCCCCUCCCCCCCCCCACCCCCAAACAUGUGAAAAUAACUCAGCAAAAAACAGAGCAGCUGCCUGGUCAUCUUCCCCAUCACUGGGAUUUCUUCAGGUAACCAAUAAAUAGGAGCAUAGAGUUGGUAGAGGGAGCCAAUGUUUCCAGAAGAAACCGUGCCACUCCAAAGGGAAAUUAGAAAAGGAGAAAGUGACCCUUGAAUAAAGAAGAGUUUAUGCAUUUAAAGACCCCUCUCCGGGAUUCUUGGCAGGAAGAGUUCACUUUCCUGCUGCAUCAGGGAUUGGAAGGCUAUUCCUCUGUCCAUGGUCCUAUUCCUCUGCUUCAAACAACUUUAGAAGAAUCCAGAGGGAGGUUCAAAUCUGCAAUGUAGAAAAGCAUUGAAGUGUUCUAGAUACAGCUGAGAAGCUGAGAGAAGACGGAAUUUGUGGGUAUAGCAGAUCUUUGGAAUCUUUGAAAAGAAGUUCUGUCGGCAGUAGAUCCCACCAGCAGAAGGGGAUCCUGCUGGACAGCCAUUCUUUUCAAUAUUGAUGAACAGCAUCUAUCCGUGGAGUGAGCUCCACUUGAGCUGAAGCCUGCUUGGUAAGAAUGACACUAUCAUCUCCCUAACAUUUCAUAUUUUGAAAGAAAGCCCUUCCCAUUCCUGAUGCUUCUCAUCAUUUUUUCCCAACACUCCAGUAAGACCAGUCAACAUUCACCUGUGCUUUUAUAGCGAUGAAGAGAGACUAACAAACUCAGUAACUCAACUGAGAAAGACAUUUUAUGGGCAGCCCAUGGUAAUCGCCUAUCUUUUAAAAAGAAACAACAUUUUUUGAGAUCCCAGGAGGUGUCUGGCACUACACGAAGUGGUAUGAGCAUGAGAGUGCAGAACAUAAUGUUUGGGAACAUAGUGUUCCUCCGGGGACUUAAAAAUUAAUGCAGAUCCAAAACUGUUUAAAAAAAUGUGGGUUGUAAUAAAUUAUGGGAAAACAAAGUGAAAGGUGUAGGGACAAAAAUCCCAAGCAUAGUGAUGGAACUAGAGACCAUGGAAAUGGAAUAUGAUGAGCCAAUUAACCUCAGGAGAACAGAGACUCAUGGUAUGGGCAGAAUACAAGACGCUUAUCUUGAGAAGUCAAUUUUGCAGACUCAGUUACUUGUCCACACACACAAAAUCAAUAGCUAUUUCUGAUAGGCUGCUGGCAAAAAAAAAAAAAAUACUGUUCUUUUCUAUAGAUGGAGUCUAAACCAUCCAGCAUACAAUGAAGUGUUUAAGAGAAAAAAUAUAUGUGGGCUGGCAAUCUUUCAAUCUGUAAAGCUGGUGAUCUAGUUUUGGGUGAUAGCUCUAAUGGAAAUAGGUGCAAUUGGGUUUGUAGAUACUGAUUUUUAUCAGCAACCAGAAACUGUGCUAAAAGCUCAAUUUGGCCUACUUUAGGUUCCCCGGCUAAGUUAGCGAGGGAAUUUUCAUUAGGUUAUUUGAAGAAUAAGAAGAAAUAAAGCAAUGCAUGAACACCAUGAUAUGUAGGUGAGAAGGUAUCUUAAUAGAAAUAGUACUCUAGUCUAGAACAGUGUUUCCCCACCAAGGUGAUGGAAAGUACUGGGAAAUGCAGAGACCUAACUUGUCCUCAGACUGAGCUUUCUUCAUUGCCCCGGCUUUCCAGUUUUAAUAACUUCAGCCUUGCUAACCUGCCAGUACUAGGGAAGUCAGUUUCAUGUACUGAUGUCAGCCUCUAAUUUGAACUCCCUCAUGGUCAUUGCAACUUUGUUCACUUUUGUAAUUAUUUUUUCACAUUUUCUUGUUUUAUAGCAAUACGAAAAGAUAAAAAUACCUAGAAAUGUUUUUUUUUUUCCAAUGUUGAAGGGAAUAAUUUAGACAGUCACUUCCACAUGGAUAUCUAAUAGGCAUCUCAAACUGAGUACGGCCAAAAGAGAAGUCUUGAUUCUUUCUCUUAAUCUUCUUGAAUCAAACAACCCCAAGAGGCUUAAAUAGAGUUUUACUUUUUUCAUAAAGAGAUGUCUGGAAAUAGGUUAUUUCUGGUGUUGAUUCAGCUGCUCAACUACACCAUCAAGGACCUAGGUAGUUUCUCUUUUUUCCUGUCACUAUCCUUAACAUGUUGGCCUUUAAUUAUCCUGUCUUUUAUUUUGUAGUCACAAGAUGGCUGCUGUGACUCCAGGCAUCGUGAUGGUGCUCAAGAUAGCCAAAUUUGUCCCCAGAAGGCUUUCUCUUAGGUCUCAUUAGCCAGAAAUGAAUCAUUCCUGGCUGCAAAGGAGAUGGGGAAAUUGAGUAUCUAGCAAAAGAGAAUGGGAUUAUUAUAAUUGAAUUGUACUGAUCAUGAUUCAUCACUUGGAGCUGGACAUAUUGUCACCCUCAACAAAGUCAGGGCUCUGUUAGCAAGGAGGAAGAGAACAGCUGUUGGAGAGGGAAGUGACACAGACUGCCACACUUCUUAUUCCCAGCCUACCUGUCUCACUGAAUAGCAUCACCAUCUGCCCAGUGCCUGAGCCAGUAACAGAGGAGAGAGCUUGGAUUCCUUUGUUUCUCUUAUGUCCCCCAUAAAAAAAUACCACACAGUUCUGUUGACUCUACUUCCCCUAUGUACCCCUAAUCCACUCUAUUCGCCCUUAGUCACUGGUAUCCUAGUUCAAGCUACCAUUGUUCACCUGAAUUACUAAAACUGCCCCCUAAAGAAACAGAAACAAUCACUUCCUUGUUUAGAACCUCCCAUCGGCUUCCCAUCUCAUCUAAAAUCCAAAUUUCUUACACUGACCUUCCAUGCCUAGAAGAUCUAGGUUCUGCUCACUGGUCCAACUUUAUCUUGUUCCACUUUUCUGUUUGCCCCUGACUUCCAACCACGCAGGGUUUCUUUCUCUUCCUCUGACGCUAACUUGUUACCAUCUUGGGAACCUUGGAACCACCUGUUUUCUCCAUCUAGAGUGCUAUGCAUUUCUGAUCUUUUCAUGACCAGCCCCUCCUUGUCAUUUAGAUCACUGUUCAAAUGUCGUCUCUUCAGAGAGGUCUUCUCUGGCCACCAAUCUAAAACAGCAAACUGGUUGGUCAUCCAUCACUUCAUUCUAUUUCAUUUCUUUAUGUUUGCACCUACCACUGUCUAACAUUAUCUUAUUUACCACUUUAUGUGUCAUGUAUGCAAUGUAACUAUUUAUUUCCCACCUCCUUCACACUAGAAUAUCAGCUCCAUGACAGGAGAGACCUUGUGUGUUCUGUUCACAGCUGUAUUCCUAGCACCUAGAUCAAUGCACAUGGCAGGUUCUCAUCAAAUAUUUCUGAGUGAAUGAAUACACGAGGGGAAAGAUUUUUUUUAAGCGGAAACUUUAGCUAUAAAAGAACAUCUGUAAACUAUUAUCAGCAUCCUUAGAGUUGUCCUUCACAGAGAAAAAUAACUUUGUUAGUUGAAGGAUGUAAAAUGUGUUAUGCUUUAAAGACAUCACAAUUAAUAAGCAAUACUAAUUUCUUCCACACAGCCUCUUUCCUCCUGUGUCCUACUUUCCAAAGCUUAACAAGCCGCAUGUCUUCAUGCUCUAUCAGUGCAGUUACUAAAUGCCUUCUCCAUGGACUUCUCUCUUUUUGCUCCAAUAAUGUGAUUACAUUUUCUGACCAUUUUCUGAAGUUCUGGGACAAUUUAAAAGAAACAUUUGGGCGAUGUCCUCCUUUCCUCCAUUUUUUGGCCAGAAUUUCAAGACGGGGAAAACCAAAAUGUUCUUGGACAAAGAGAGAAAUAUUUAGCAUCUAAAAUUUUCUGCUUUUUUGUGAGGUUCUCAUAUUUCUGUAUAUGUUCUUCCUAAAGGCUAAAACCGUUUGUACUCUCUUCACCAGAAAUCCAGACUUUUCGUAAGACUGUCCUUUGGGUAAAAUGUUAAAAUUGGAGAGAUUGAUCGGCAGCCUUCAUUCAUUUCCCUCCAUGAUCCUUUUAGUCCUUUCCACACCUUCUCAGUCCUGAGGCAACCUUUUGUAAGCCCAGGCUUCUGGAUCAGCAGCCGGCUGGGCCCACGGGCUCAGCCUGCAUACCAGACAUCCCGUGCAUCUGGCGGGCCAUAGCACAUGGAAAUUGUGCACCAGAAGCUUUGAGAAGUUCAACCUCUUCACACUGGGGAUACAGCAUUCUGGUGAUGGAGAUCCAGCAUACUCUAAAAUGCCCCUAUGUUUAGAAACGUUCCCCAAUACUGCUCAUAAAUUACACACAAAGAAUCCCGGGGUGUUUGAACUUCUGGACUUGUCAACAGAAAAUAGCAAGCAAAAUGAUUCUCAUCCUCAAAGGUCUGUGAAUACAUCAUAAACAAGAAUAAACUGUUCCUCUGUACUUAACACAAUCUCAGCCUCUUGCCUGUCUUCGCCUGCCAUCACCAACCCCCCCCCCCCCAACACACCCAUGUCUAACUUCACACCUACAUCUUAACACUUGGACAUUCACAGGCCCCUGAAACAAAACA
This is a long non-coding RNA of Panthera uncia (snow leopard), 5271 nucleotides long. RefSeq lists it as uncharacterized. The transcript has 3 exons. Lineage: Eukaryota; Metazoa; Chordata; Mammalia; Carnivora; Felidae. The record is from RefSeq and is a predicted model, not a curated record.